GACGAACGCUGGCGGCGUGCUUAACACAGGCAAGUCGAACGGUAAGGCCCUUCGGGUACGACGAGUGGCGAACGGGUGAGUAACACGUGGGUGAUCUGCCCUGCACUUCGGGAUAAGCUUGGGAAACUGGGUCUAAUACCGGAUAGGACCAUGGUCUGCAUGGAUUGUGGUGGAAAGCUUUUGCGGUGUGGGAUGGGCCCGCGGCCUAUCAGCUUGUUGGUGGGGUGAUGGCCUACCAAGGCGACGACGGGUAGCCGGCCUGAGAGGGUGUCCGGCCACACUGGGACUGAGAUACGGCCCAGACUCCUACGGGAGGCAGCAGUGGGGAAUAUUGCACAAUGGGCGCAAGCCUGAUGCAGCGACGCCGCGUGGGGGAUGACGGCCUUCGGUUGGUAACCUACUUCUAGCAGGGACGAAGGGUAGGAC
RNAcentral lists this ribosomal RNA (426 nucleotides) under uncultured bacterium. RNAcentral describes it as "bacterial SSU rRNA". It matches the Rfam family "Bacterial small subunit ribosomal RNA", at positions 28 to 458 of the family's 1533-position model. The record is from RNAcentral.